Molecule: small nuclear RNA, 107 nt
Organism: Manis pentadactyla (Chinese pangolin)
Lineage: Eukaryota; Metazoa; Chordata; Mammalia; Pholidota; Manidae
Source: RefSeq, a predicted model, not a curated record
GUGCUUACUUGCAUGGCACAUAUGCUCAAAUUGGUAUGAUAAAGAAAAGAUUAGCAUGGAUCCUGGGCAAGGAUGACUUUCAAAUUUAUAAAGUGUUCCAUCUUUUU